RNAcentral lists this ribosomal RNA (406 nucleotides) under uncultured bacterium. RNAcentral's name for it is "partial 16S ribosomal RNA". It matches the Rfam family "Bacterial small subunit ribosomal RNA", at positions 30 to 526 of the family's 1533-position model. The record is from RNAcentral.
AUUGAACGCUGGCGGCAGGCCUAACACAUGCAAGUCGAACGAUUGGCGGACGGGUGAGUAAUGUCUGGGAAACUGCCCGAUGGUGGGGGAUAACUCCUGGAAACGGUAUCUAAUACCGCAUACCCUCAGAUGUGCCCAGAUGGGAUUAGCUUGUUGGUGGGGUAACGGCGCACCAAGGCGACGAUCCCUAGCUGGUCUGAGAGGAUGACAAGCAACACUGCAACGGAGACACGGUCCAGACUCCGACGGAAGGCAGAAGUGGGGAAUAUUGCACAAUGGGCGCAAGCCUGAUGCAGACAUGCCGCGUGUAUGAAGAAGGCCUGCGGGUUGUAAAGUACUUUCAGCGGGGAGGCGUUACCCGCAGAAGAAGCACCGGCUAACUCCGUGCCAGCAGCCGCGGUAAUAC